AGGGUUUGAUCCUGGCUCAGAACGAACGCUGGCGGCGUGCCUAACACAUGCAAGUCGAGCGAGAAAUCCCGCUUCGGUGGGAGAGUAAAGCGGCGCACGGGUGAGUAACGCGUGGGUAAUCUACCCCCGAGUUUGGGAUAACCCCGCGAAAGCGGGGCUAAUACCGGAUAAGACCACAGUUAUUUUAUGGCAGUGGUAAAAGAUGGUCUCUCCAUGGAAGCUAUUGCUUGGGGAUGAGCCCGCGUCCUAUCAGCUUGUUGGUAGGGUAAUGGCCUACCAAGGCGAAGACGGGUAGCUGGUCUGAGAGGACGAUCAGCCACACUGGGACUGAGACACGGCCCAGACUCCUACGGGAGGCAGCAGUGGGGAAUAUUGCGCAAUGGGGGAAACCCUGACGCAGCGACGCCGCGUGGGUGAUGAAGGCCUUCGGGUUGUAAAGCCCUGUUAGGUGGGAAGAAAUUCUCUAUGGUUAAUACCCAUAGGGAUUGACGGUACCAUCAGAGGAAGCACCGGCUAACUCCGUGCCAGCAGCCGCGGUAAUACGGAGGGUGCAAGCGUUGUUCGGAAUUACUGGGCGUAAAGGGGGUGUAGGCGGUCGGGAAAGUCGGAUGUGAAAACCCUCGGCUCAACCGAGGAAGUGCAUUCGAAACUGCUCGACUUGAGUAUGGGAGAGGAAGGCGGAAUUCUCGGUGUAGCGGUGACAUGCGUAGAUAUCGGGAGGAACACCGGUGGCGAAGGCGGCCUUCUGGCCCAAUACUGACGCUGAGACCCGAAAGCGUGGGGAGCAAACAGGAUUAGGUACCCUGGUAGUCCACGCCGUAAACGUUGGGUACUAGGUGUGGGAGGUUUUAUACCUUCCGUGCCGCAGCUAACGCAUUAAGUACCCCGCCUGGGGAGUACGGCCGCAAGGUUAAAACUCAAAGGAAUUGACGGGGGCCCGCACAAGCGGUGGAGCAUGUGGUUCAAUUCGACGCAACGCGAAGAACCUUACCUGGGCUUGACAUCUCGGGAAUCCCCUGGAAACGGGGGAGUGCCCUUCGGGGAACCCGAAGACAGGUGCUGCAUGGCUGUCGUCAGCUCGUGUCGUGAGGUGUUGGGUUAAGUCCCGCAACGAGCGCAACCCUCACCCUUAGUUGCUACCAGUUCGGCUGAGCACUCUAAGGGAACUGCCAGCGAUAAGCCGGAGGAAGGUGAGGAUGACGUCAAGUCCUCAUGGCCCUUAUGCCCAGGGCUACACACGUGCUACAAUGGUCGGUACAAAGGGUCGCGAACCCGCAAGGGGGAGCCAAUCCCAAAAACCCGGUCUCAGUUCGGAUUGGAGUCUGCAACUCGACUCCAUGAAGUUGGAAUCGCUAGUAAUCGCGGAUCAGCACGCCGCGGUGAAUACGUUCCCGGGCCUUGUACACACCGCCCGUCACACCAUGGAAGCUGGUUGUACCAGAAGCCGCUGGGCCAACCCUCACGGGGGGCAGGCGUCUAAGGUAUGGCUAGUGACUGGGGUGAAGUCGUAACAAGGUA
RNAcentral lists this ribosomal RNA (1518 nucleotides) under metagenome. RNAcentral's name for it is "bacterial SSU rRNA". It matches the Rfam family "Bacterial small subunit ribosomal RNA". The record is from RNAcentral.